UGAGCCCACGGGGUGGGAUGU
RNAcentral lists this unclassified non-coding RNA (21 nucleotides) under Mus musculus (house mouse). RNAcentral's name for it is "oocyte_clustered_small_RNA13380". The record is from RNAcentral. Lineage: Eukaryota; Metazoa; Chordata; Mammalia; Rodentia; Muridae.